UAGUAGACCUUUCAGAGAGCUUUGGUGCCUUCGGGAACUCUGAGACAGGUGCUGCAUGGCUGUCGUCAGCUCGUGUUGUGAAAUGUUGGGUUAAGUCCCGCAACGAGCGCAACCCUUAUCCUUUGUUGCCAGCGGUCCGGCCGGGAACUCAAAGGAGACUGCCAGUGAUAAACUGGAGGAAGGUGGGGAUGACGUCAAGUCAUCAUGGCCCUUACGAGUAGGGCUACACACGUGCUACAAUGGCGCAUACAAAGAGAAGCGAACUCGCGAGAGCAAGCGGACCUCAUAAAGUGCGUCGUAGUCCGGAUUGGAGUCUGCAACUCGACUCCAUGAAGUCGGAAUCGCUAGUAAUCGUAGAUCAGAAUGCUACGGUGAAUACGUUCCCGGGCCUUGUACACACCGAAA
This 405-nucleotide ribosomal RNA is filed under the name bacterium. RNAcentral describes it as "bacterial SSU rRNA". It matches the Rfam family "Bacterial small subunit ribosomal RNA", at positions 991 to 1395 of the family's 1533-position model. The record is from RNAcentral.